UUUCUUUUGCAGAAAAGUGCGAGAAGGCACUAUAAACUUCAAGAUUCAGUUGAUUGCCAAACGCGAUGAGACUUGGGGCUGGAACGAGAGAACGAGGGACCCGAGCGAGAAGAAAAGAAGUAUCCAGGGGCAAGCUAAUGUUGGAGGAUCAUCUUGAGAAGAAAGGAAGCAGGAGGGCCAAAGUGAAAAAAUGGCAGAUCACACGAGGUCAAAAUCCCUAGACGCCCUGAUUCCCAAAUCAGGCCUGGCAUCUCAUCUAUCUCCCCCGAUCCCUUUCUUCUCCACCACUGGCCGCCGCCGCAGCCAGGCCGGCGUGGGGCGCACCACCGCUCCACUGCGCCUCCACCUUCACCGCGCCCUCCAUCCACCAGCACCUCCAUACACCACCAUCCAUCCACUCCAUCACCACCUCGCGCCGAUGCACCAUCCAUCAGCGCCACCACUCCCCACCAUCACUUCUUCUCUCUCUCUCUCUCUCACGUACUGCUGCACCUUUUCUCUUCUUCCCAAUCUUGCUGUAGUUCUUCCUCUCUUUCAACCUCCUGCUGCUGCCUCCUCUUCUCCAAGCCCCUCUGCUUCUUCUCCAUCACGAAACUGCUUCCCCUCUCUUGCUUCUCCAUCUCCGUGCUGCUGCUCUUCUUCUUCUUCCCCUUGCUACUGCUGCCUCUUCUCCGUUGCAUCUCCCUUAGCGCUGCUGCUGCUGCUUCUCUCUUCUGCGUCCCCUGCUGCUCCUUCUCAACCCCCCUGUUGCCUCUAUUUCUUCUCUGAACCUAAACCCUUGUGGCUGCUAUCUCUCUCUUUGAAAUAACUUGAGACAUAUAUGAUGUGUAACAUUCAGAUUUGUUAAGUGUUAGUAACCUACUUGUUCAAUUUCAGACUUAUGCUUUAUUUGUGGAUGUGUGAACUGGAUCGUGGCAUGUAUCACUCAGUUUGUAUGCUCAAUAAUUAGCUAUAUAUAUCCCCUGUGUGUUGUAGUUGCCGUAGUAAUUUUCAGUUUGUAAUACCUGUGUGAUAUAUAUAAUUCUGUGGUGUUAAACAUUUCUGUCCUUGUCCCAUUAUCUUUGUUCUGUGCUUUUCUUCUUAUAUAUAACUAAUAGUUAUAUUUGUGAUCAUAUAUUGGUACUUCCUUUCUGUCGAUGAUGAUGUCCUGUGUGUGUAUUUUAGUUUCUAAAAUAAUAUGAAAAUACCAAAAAGACAAAGCGAAGAUAAUCUUCAUCUCCUUUGCUUCUGUGUCAUUUCCUUUGUUGAUGAUCUUAGUUAGUCUAGAUUUAAUAUUCUGCUUUCACCACCCAAUAUUGUGUUACCUAGAUUUAGCCGAGCGUAGUCGCCGUCGCCUAGUCCCUGUGGGGAACACGACACUCGCAGUUCGGGCGAAAUAUCCCGCUGUACUUACAACUGAUCAUUUUGGCGCCGUUGCCGGGGACUAGCGUCGAGUGACCGUGUUAGGCUAUAGACUAGGUUUAUUUUAGUUCCUUGUUUAAUUCGUCGUGUAUUUCAUUUUCUGCGAUUCUUUUAUAUUUUUUUUGCUUGUUGUUGCUUCGGCUUAUUAGGAUACUAACAUUCUGACUAGUAUUUACUGUUUAUGAGUGUGCGUAGGAAAUCUGAACUAUUUACAGGUUGAUUGAUAGUUACACUUGGCGGAGAUAUGGCGAUGCUUCGUGAUGUUUGGAUGCCAAGUAGUCAAUGCUAUUUCACAGGGCCGGUUUGGCCAACUAUUGAGGUAGAGAAUUUUGAGCUGAAGCCUGGUCUUAUUGCUUUGGUUCAACAACAUCAGUUUGGAGGGUUGCCUAAUGAAGAUCCUUAUGAGCACUUGCUCCGAGUCAUGGAGUAUUCAGAUACAGUAAAGUACCAUGGAGUUCCUCAAGAAGCUAUCAAGUGCAUGCUGUUCACAUUCUCUCUCCGAGAUGGUGCUCAUGCUUGGUAUCGAUCCUUGCCAUCAAGAUCAUUCGGUUGGAAUGAGAUAUCAUGAGCUUUCUUGGAUAAAUAUUUCCCACUACACAAGCAGUCCGCAAUUCGAGAUGAGAUCUUCAAUUUCGUUCAGCGUGAAGGCGAGAGCUUGAAUGAUGCUUGGGAGAGAUACAGAGCCUUAUUCAGGAGAUGUCCUAAUCAUGGGCUCGAGAGAUGGUUAGAGCUGCAGAUAUUCUAUAGAGGAUUGACUUCAGACACUCGAGCUUAUGUCGAUAUGGCAGCGGGUGGAGCUAUUACAAACAAGACACUUGAUGAAGCUUUUCUGCUGAUUGAGAGCAUAGCUUUCCACCAACUUCAGUGGUACAAUAAGAAGCCCACGUCUGAUUCAUUGGUUUGCUUGCAACAAAUCACUACACCUCAGCCACCAAUUCUUACACAGAAUCCUGAACCUCUAUCUCAGUGUGACAAGAUUGAGCUUGCAUGGAUUAUCUUUGACGAUGAUGACACCAUUCUAGUUGACACACACGCUACAGAUCAUAUGGAUACUAGUGUUGGAGACUCGGUUUUGCAUUGUGAUGAUUCUUCUAUUGAUGAGCCAGAGCUGCAGUUAGUUGUUUUUGAUAUUGAGGAGUCACCUUUAGUUGAUAUUGAUCAUGUGCUGCUAGAGCCAGAUAUGGAGAAGUUCACCUUCGAUGAUGUUAGCCGUAUUGCUUCCUCAACACUUGAGCCCGAGAUGGAGAGCUUCAUGGUUGAGUAUGGUGAGGUGGAUUCAGAUGUCAAGGAGUCAAGCUCUAUUUCACUUGUUGACAUGAAUCCGGUGGAAAUUUCUACUACCACACCUCACUUGGUAUCUUCAAUGGAGGUAGUCCUGAAGCUUCUUCCUAACUAUCUCAGGUAUGAUCUCAGCUUUCUCGACAAGAUAUGCCAUAUUAUGGAUACUGCCUAUGCACCAUGUGACUUGUUGUUGAUACAUGUUCCUGACUUGCUCAAUAGAUAUACUUAUAUGAUAGGGUACUCUAUCGAUGACUUAGAGGGCAUUCUCUCUGUCACAUGUAUUGGCUUGGUUGUUGAGUGUUCUUUCAGGUUGAUGCUUGUGUACCAUUUACUGCGAGUUGACCGAGUUCGAGAUGACAUUCCCUGGAAUCCUGGUGGACUCAGAGCAUGGGGAUGAGGAGAAGCAAGGGGGCACACACGAGGAAGGGAGAAGCUGGAGCAGGCAUGAGGAUAGAGAAGCAAAAGGAGAGGAGCUGCAGUUGGUGAGGUGAUCGAGCGAGUGCUACAUCAUCAAAGCCCGGUGAGAUGUUUCAUGACCCAUUCCGAGUAUAUCAUCCAUUGAUACAUGCUGAAAUCAAAUGUUAUUUGGGUUGCUUAAGCCAUUUCUUAAAUGUCGUCCCACUGAAUCUUACCUUUGACAUAUGAUGCUUGAUGUGAAUAUGUGAACUAAAUCGUGAAUGCCUUGUAAACUAGUGAUCUACAUACUGCUUGCUUUGCUGAAACUAGUGAAAGUUAUUAGUUUUGAGUGCUCAAAUCCCUAGUACACUAGAAAACUUAAUCAUUUUCUUCUUUUACCUCGAUACACCUAGAUCAUUAAGAGUCAGAUGUUGAGUUUGUGCCUAAUGUGUUCCCAUUGAGAGCAAUCACCUAACCACUAUGGAUUAGUAUGCUAUGUUCCCUGGAUCGGUAGCAUGUGAACCAGACAUGGAGAAGUGAUGAUUCCUAUUUUUGUGCUUAUGUGUUGUUCAUUUAAGAUAAGUAAUAAUGAAUAAAUAAGUCUGACUACCUACAGUAGCAUGUCAUGUUCCUGGGAUCAGUGGCAUGUGAAAUCGGGUUAGCUUGGGCAGUAAUUAAUAAUAAAAAAAUGUAAUUGUCGAACCAGGUGUAUACCAUGUUCUCGGGAUCGGUGGUAUGUUCCUUUGGGGAGACAAACAAAAAAACUAAACUAAUAAUUGGUCGAUCCAGGUGUAUACCAUGUUCUCGGGAUCAGUGGUAUGUCCCUUUGGUGAGAUCGAUAAAAUAUUAUCAUUGCUUUACUUCUGUAAAUAAGUGAUUUGAUCACAAGUUUAUGUUCUUUUUUGUGCUCGGGAUCAUGCUCUCUUUAGGAACCUUUGGCACAAUCAUCAUCUGAACUUGUUGAUCCACUUUUAUCAUUGUAAAAGUUUAAAAUGAUUGAGUCUACUAGUAUCCUAUUGCUUUGUAGCACUCUUGACCAUUGAUUUGCACUAGCUAAGUCCAAAGCAUGCAUUGUUUAGAGAUCUACUUCACUUGGCAUUCUCUAGUCAGCUCACUGUUCACUGUCUAGCUCUUGUCAUAUGCCUUUACUUGAGGACAAGUAAAGAUUUAAGUGUGGGGGAACUUGAUAAGCACAUUUCAUAUAUAUAAUUUUGGCAUACAAAUAUACCAUUUGUUGAGUUCUGACAUUAAUUUUUGCUAUGAAAUACUGAAUAUUUGAAUGAUAAUCAUAUAAGAGCAUGUUGACUAGUGAAUUGUUUCUUUUGCAGAAAAGUGCGAGAAGGCACUAUAAACUUCAAGAUUCAUUCGAUUGCCAAACGCGAUGAGACUUGGCGCAGGAACGAGAGAACGAGGGACCCGAGCGAGAAGAAAAAAAGUAUCCAGGGGCAAGCUAAUGUUGGAGGAUCAUCUUGAGAAGAAAGGAAGCAGGAGGGCCAAAGUGAAAAAAUGACAGAUCACACGAGGUCAAAAUCCCUAGACGCCCUGAUUCCCAAAUCAGGCCUGGCAUCUCAUCUCUCUCCCCCGAUCCCUUUCUUCUCCACCACCGGCCGCCGCCGCAGCCAGGCCGGCGUGGGGCAUGCCACCGCUCCACCGCGCCUUCACCUUCACCGCGCCCUCCAUCCACCAACACCUCCAUACACCACCAUCCAUCCACUCCAUCACCACCUCGCGCCGCUGCACCAUCCAUCAGCGCCACCACUCCCCACCAUCACUUCUUCUCUCUCUCUCUCACGCACUGCUGCACCUUUUCUCUUCUUCCCAAUCUUGCUGUAGUUCUUCCUCUCUUUCAACCUCCUGCUGCUGCCUCCUCUUCUCCAAGCCCCUCUGCUUCUUCUUCAUCACGAAACUGCUUCCCCUCUCUUGCUUCUCCAUCUCCAUGCUGCUGCUCUUCUUCUUCUUCCCCUUGCUGAUGCUGCCUCUUCUCCGUUGCAUCUCCCUUAGCGCUGCUGCUGCUUCUCUCUUCUGCGUCCCCUGCUGCUCCUUCUCAACCCCCCUGUUGCCUCUAUUUCUUCUCUGAACCUAAACCCUUGUGGCUGCUAUCUCUCUCUCUGAAAUAACUUGAGACAUAUAUGAUGUGUAACAUUCAGAUUUGUUAAGUGUUAGUAACCUACUUGUUCAGUUUCAGACUUAUGCUUUAUUUGUGGAUGUGUGAGCUGGAUCGUGGCAUGUAUCACUCAGUUUGUAUGCUCAAUAAUUAGCUAUAUAUAUCCCCUGUGUGUUGUAGUUGCCGUAGUAAUUUUCAGUUUGUAAUACCUGUGUGAUAUAUAUAAUUCUGUGGUGUUAAACAUUUCUGUCCUUGUCCCAUUAUCUUUGUUCUGUGCUUUUCUUCUUAUAUAUAACUAAUAGUUAUAUUUGUGAUCAUAUAUUGGUACUUCCUUUCUGUCGAUGAUGAUGUCCUGUGUGUGUAUUUUAGUUUCUAAAAUAAUAUGAAAAUACCAAAAAGACAAAGCGAAGAUAAUCUUCAUCUCCUUUGCUUCUGUGUCAUUUCCUUUGUUGAUGAUCUUAGUUAGUCUAGAUUUAAUAUUUUGCUUUCACCACCCAAUAUUGUGUUACCUAGAUUUAGCCGAGCGUAGUCGCCAUCGCCUAGUCCCUGUGGGGAACACGACACUCGCAGUUCGGGCGAAAUAUCCCGCUGUACUUAUAACUGAUCACGUCAUCAUCACCAUCACCA
This 5809-nucleotide long non-coding RNA is filed under the name Triticum aestivum (bread wheat). RNAcentral's name for it is "long non-coding RNA (TAES_LNC003290)". Lineage: Eukaryota; Viridiplantae; Streptophyta; Magnoliopsida; Poales; Poaceae. The record is from RNAcentral.